UACGGAAGGGACAAGCGUUGUUCGGAAUCAUUGGGCGUAAAGGGCGCGUAGGUGGUUCUGUAUGUCUACCGUGAAAGCAUACAGCUCAACUGUAUUUUGUCGGUAGAAACUGCAGGACUUGAGGCUGGGAGGGGCUGGUGGAAUUCCCUGUGUAGCGGUGAAAUGCGUAGAGAUGGGGGAGAACACUCGUGGCGAAGGCGGCCAGCUAGACCAGUUCUGACACUGAGGCGCGACAGCGUGGGGAGCAAACAAG
This 253-nucleotide ribosomal RNA is filed under the name uncultured bacterium. RNAcentral describes it as "partial 16S ribosomal RNA". It matches the Rfam family "Bacterial small subunit ribosomal RNA", at positions 524 to 776 of the family's 1533-position model. The record is from RNAcentral.